GUGUCAGCAGCCGCGGUAAUACGGAAGGGGCUAGCGUUGUUCGGAAUUACUGGGCGUAAAGCGCGCGUAGGUGGUCGGGUAAGUGAGGCGUGAAAGUCCUGGGCUCAACCUGGGGACGGCGCUUCAUACUGCCUGGCUGGAGUCCGGGAGAGGGUGGUGGAAUUCCCAGUGUAGAGGUGAAAUUCGUAGAUAUUGGGAGGAACACCGGUGGCGAAAGCGGCCACCUGGCCCGGAACUGACGCUGAAGCGCGAAAGCGUGGGGAGCAAACAGGAUUAGAAACCCUGGUAGUCC
This 292-nucleotide ribosomal RNA is filed under the name uncultured bacterium. Its description in RNAcentral is "partial 16S ribosomal RNA". It matches the Rfam family "Bacterial small subunit ribosomal RNA", at positions 505 to 796 of the family's 1533-position model. The record is from RNAcentral.